This 71-nucleotide transfer RNA is filed under the name Rhipicephalus microplus (southern cattle tick). Its description in RNAcentral is "tRNA-Gly". It matches the Rfam family "tRNA". Rfam says of the family: Transfer RNA (tRNA) molecules are approximately 80 nucleotides in length. The record is from Rfam by way of RNAcentral. Lineage: Eukaryota; Metazoa; Arthropoda; Arachnida; Ixodida; Ixodidae.
GCGUCGGUGGUUCAGUGGUAGAAUACUCGCCUGCCACGCGGGUGGCCCGGGUUCGAUUCCGGGCCGACGCA